GAUGAACGCUGGCGGCGUGCUUAACACAUGCAAGUCGAGCGAAGCGAUUCAAAUGAAGUUUUCGGAUGGAUUUUGAAUUGACUUAGCGGCGGACGGGUGAGUAACGCGUGGGUAACCUGCCUCAUACAGGGGGAUAACAGUUGGAAACGACUGCUAAUACCGCAUAAGCACACAGUGCCGCAUGGUACGGUGUGAAAAACUCCGGUGGUAUGAGAUGGACCCGCGUCUGAUUAGGUAGUUGGUGAGGUAACGGCCCACCAAGCCGACGAUCAGUAGCCGACCUGAGAGGGUGACCGGCCACAUUGGGACUGAGACACGGCCCAAACUCCUACGGGAGGCAGCAGUGGGGAAUAUUGGACAAUGGGGGAAACCCUGAUCCAGCGACGCCGCGUGAGUGAAGAAGUAUUUCGGUAUGUAAAGCUCUAUCAGCAGGGAAGAAAAUGACGGUACCUGACUAAGAAGCCCCGGCUAACUACGUG
Molecule: ribosomal RNA, 479 nt
Filed under: uncultured bacterium
Lineage: Bacteria
Description: bacterial SSU rRNA
Rfam family: Bacterial small subunit ribosomal RNA
Source: RNAcentral